AGCUCCAAUAGCGUAUAUUAAAGUUGUUGCAGUUAAAAAGCUCGUAGUUGGAUUUCUGGUGUGAGGGAACGGUCCGACCUCUGGUGGGUACUUGCUUCCUCUCACGCCAUCCUUGAGUGGUGCGUUCUGGCAUUCAGUUGUCGGGACGUUAGCCGCUCAUCGUUUACUGUGAGAAAAUUAGAGUGUUCAAAGCAGGCUUAUGCCGUUGAAUAUAUUAGCAUGGAAUAAUAAGAUAGGACUUCGGUACUAUUUUGUUGGUUUGCGUACCGAUGUAAUGAUCAAUAGGGACAGUUGGGGGUAUUCGUAUUCAGUUGUCAGAGGUGAAAUUCUUGGAUUUCUGAAAGACGAACUACUGCGAAAGCAUUUACCAAGGAUGUUUUCA
RNAcentral lists this ribosomal RNA (382 nucleotides) under uncultured marine Chaetocerotaceae. Its description in RNAcentral is "SSU rRNA". It matches the Rfam family "Eukaryotic small subunit ribosomal RNA", at positions 587 to 972 of the family's 1831-position model. The record is from RNAcentral. Lineage: Eukaryota; Bacillariophyta; Thalassiosirophyceae; Chaetocerotales; Chaetocerotaceae.